CUCCAAGGAGCGUUGCAGCACGGUUUUCAUGACCGUGUCAGGCUUGGAUUCUUUUUCGCAACGGCGCUCACGUUAC
RNAcentral lists this non-coding RNA (76 nucleotides) under Noviherbaspirillum autotrophicum. Its description in RNAcentral is "Herbaspirillum sp. TSA66 SAH (S-adenosyl-L-homocysteine) riboswitch aptamer". It matches the Rfam family "SAH (S-adenosyl-L-homocysteine) riboswitch aptamer". Lineage: Bacteria; Pseudomonadati; Pseudomonadota; Betaproteobacteria; Burkholderiales; Oxalobacteraceae. The record is from Rfam by way of RNAcentral. RNAcentral also lists the same sequence under 1 other name.